AACCUCUGGAUUUACUCCAGAGCUGACGGUACCUGAAGAAUAAGCACCGGCUAACUCCGUGCCAGCAGCCGCGGUAAUACGGAGGGUGCGAGCGUUAUCCGGAAUUACUGGGUUUAAAGGGUGCGUAGGCGGCUAUGUAAGUCAGGAGUGAAAGUUUGCGGCUCAACCGUAAAAUUGCUUUUGAUACUGCAUGGCUGGAAUUAGGAUGAGGUCAGCGGAAUGUGGCAUGUAGCGGUGAAAUGCAUAGAUAUGCCAUAGAACACCAAUUGCGAAGGCAGCUGACUAGACCUGGAUUGACGCUGAGGCACGAAAGCGUGGGGAGCGAACAGGAUUAGAUACCCUGGUAGUCCACGCCCUAAACGAUGCUCACUCGACGUACGGCGCUUGUCNUUGUGCGUCCAAGGGAAACCGUUAAGUGAGCCACCUGGGGAGUACGACCGCAAGGUUGAAACUCAAA
RNAcentral lists this ribosomal RNA (457 nucleotides) under uncultured bacterium. RNAcentral describes it as "bacterial SSU rRNA". It matches the Rfam family "Bacterial small subunit ribosomal RNA", at positions 448 to 905 of the family's 1533-position model. The record is from RNAcentral.